AAAUUGUUACAAACUUACAAUGCAUGGAGAAAACAUAGAAAUGUACGAAAAGAAAAUCCCAAUCCUUUUGCAUUAUUUCUCAAUAUCAAGAGUACUUAAUUUUUUCUAGUGAUUAUGUUGAGAUUUCCUAUAAAGUUCUCUUCUUUUUUUCAAGAAAUCCACAACUCUAUUGUAAUCGGGGACAUUGUCUUUGAUCACAGGGCGUUCGCUGAAAUGCCUGACCCAGGCAUGCAGGCGUGGGAAGCUAUCGGCUUUAAUGAACUUUACUCGCCCCACCACCUCUUCCAUGGGUGCCAACAUAUGAAUAACCAUUCCAAAAACAAGGUCAGCGACGCCAAUUUGGUCGCCACCGAAGAACUUUUUUGUCUCUAAGACCAUGUUCCUCUCGUCCUCAGAAUUUCAUAGUUGUUCUCGAUUGCCUUCUGCUGUUCUUCACCGAAUUUACGAAAGAAUUCCCACAUUGGUUGAGUCUGCAACCUUAUAUUAAUAAGGUUAGGAUCAAAUAUUACUGGUCUGCUAGUGGUUUGAGACUAGAUCCCUAGAUUCGAGGGGGUGAAAUUGGCUUUAAAAUGGAUUAAUUCGAGUUUUAAAUUUUUUUUAUCAUUUUGGAUUACUUGUUUUGGCCAUUUUGGGUUCGAUUUUAUACACCAAACAAAACAUUAAUUAUUGGCAAAAAAAAAUUUUUUUAUUGUUACAAACAUACAAUGCAUAAAAAAAAAGUAAAAAUGCUACAAGAAAAAGAACAAUCAAUCCUUUUGCAUUAUUUCCCAAUUUUUAGUUCUUAAACGAUCAAAAGUACCUUCUUUCUUUCUUUUUUCUAGCUAUUCUGUUGAGAAUUCCUACAAAAUUCUCUUCUUAUCUUCAAGAAAUCAACAACUUUAGUGUAAUCAGGGACAUUGUCUUUGAUCACAGGGUGUUCGCUGAAAUGCUUGGCCCAAGCAUGCAGGCGUGGGAAGCUAUCGGCUUUAAUAAACUUAUAUCCCACCACCUCUUCCAUAGGCGCCAACAUAUGAAUAAUCAUUCCAAAAACAAGAUCAGCUAUGCCAAUUUGGUCGCCACCAAAGAACUUUUUGUCUCCAAGACCAUGUUCCUCAAUCGUCCUCAGAAUUUCAUAGUUGUUCUCGAUUGCCUUCUGCUGUUCUUCGCCGAAUUUACGAAAAAAUUCCCACAUUGGUUGAGUCUGCAAACUUAAG
Molecule: long non-coding RNA, 1193 nt
Filed under: Gossypium raimondii (Peruvian cotton)
Lineage: Eukaryota; Viridiplantae; Streptophyta; Magnoliopsida; Malvales; Malvaceae
Description: long non-coding RNA (GRAI_LNC003419)
Source: RNAcentral